CCUACGGGAGGCAGCAGUGGGGGAUAUUGCACAAUGGGGGGAACCCUGAUGCAGCGACGCCGCGUGGGUGAAGGAGCGUUUCGGCGCGUAAAGCCCUAUCGGCAGGGAAGAAGGAGGACGGUACCUGACUAAGAAGCCCCGGCUAACUACGUGCCAGCAGCCGCGGUAAUACGUAGGGGGCAAGCGUUAUCCGGAUUUACUGGGGGUAAAGGGGGCGCAGACGGCAGUGCAAGUCCGGAGUGAAAGCCCGGGGCUCAACCCUGGGACUGCUCUGGAAACUGUAAAGCUGGAGUGCGGGAGGGGCAGGCGGAAUUCCUGGUGUAGCGGUGAAAUGCGUAGAUAUCAGGAGGAACACCGGCGGCGAAGGCGGCCUGCUGGACCGUAACUGACGUUGAGGCUCGAAAGCGUGGGGAGCAAACAGGAUUAGAUACCCGAGUAGUC
Molecule: ribosomal RNA, 441 nt
Filed under: uncultured bacterium
Lineage: Bacteria
Description: partial 16S ribosomal RNA
Rfam family: Bacterial small subunit ribosomal RNA
Source: RNAcentral